RNAcentral lists this ribosomal RNA (468 nucleotides) under uncultured bacterium. Its description in RNAcentral is "partial 16S ribosomal RNA". It matches the Rfam family "Bacterial small subunit ribosomal RNA", at positions 28 to 507 of the family's 1533-position model. The record is from RNAcentral.
GACGAACGCUGGCGGCGUGCUUAACACAUGCAAGUCGAACGGAAAGGCCCUGCUUUUGUGGGGUGCUCGAGUGGCGAACGGGUGAGUAACACGUGAGUAACCUGCCCUUGACUUUGGGAUAACUUCAGGAAACUGGGGCUAAUACCGGAUAGGAGCUCCUGCUGCAUGGUGGGGGUUGGAAAGUUUCGGCGGUUGGGGAUGGACUCGCGGCUUAUCAGCUUGUUGGUGGGGUAGUGGCUUACCAAGGCUUUGACGGGUAGCCGGCCUGAGAGGGUGACCGGCCACAUUGGGACUGAGAUACGGCCCAGACGGCUACGGGAGGCAGCAGUGGGGAAUAUUGCACAAUGGGCGGAAGCCUGAUGCAGCAACGCCGCGUGCGGGAUGACGGCCUUCGGGGUGUAAACCGCUGUCGCAUGUGACGAAGCGUGAGUGACGGUAAUGGGUAAAGAAGCACCGGCUAACUACGUG